Molecule: ribosomal RNA, 483 nt
Filed under: uncultured Thiothrix sp.
Lineage: Bacteria; Pseudomonadati; Pseudomonadota; Gammaproteobacteria; Thiotrichales; Thiotrichaceae
Description: bacterial SSU rRNA
Rfam family: Bacterial small subunit ribosomal RNA
Source: RNAcentral
AAACUCAAAUGAAUUGACGGGGCCGCACAAGCGGUGGAGCAUGUGGUUUAAUUCGAUGCAACGCGAAGAACCUUACCUGGGCUUGACAUCCCGGGAAUCCCUUGGAAACAAGGGAGUGCCCUUCGGGGAACCUGGAGACAGGUGCUGCAUGGCUGUCGUCAGCUCGUGUCGUGAGAUGUUGGGUUAAGUCCCGCAACGAGCGCAACCCUUGUCAUUAGUUGCUACAUUCAGUUGGGCACUCUAAUGAGACUGCCGGUGACAAGCCGGAGGAAGGUGGGGAUGACGUCAAGUCCUCAUGGCCCUUAUAGGUGGGGCUACACACGUCAUACAAUGGCUGGUACAAAGGGUUGCCAACCCGCGAGGGGGAGCCAAUCCCAUAAAGCCAGUCGUAGUCCGGAUCGUAGUCUGCAACUCGACUACGUGAAGUCGGAAUCGCUAGUAAUCGUGGAUCAGAAUGUCACGGUGAAUACGUUCCCGGGUCUU